CCUACGGGUGGCUGCAGUGGGGAAUAUUGGGCAAUGGGCGAAAGCCUGACCCAGCAAUGCCGCGUGAAUGAAGAAGGUCUUAGGAUUGUAAAAUUCUGUCCUAUGGGAAGAAAAAAAUGACGGUACCAUAGGAGGAAGCCCCGGCUAACUACGUGCCAGCAGCCGCGGUAAUACGUAGGGGGCGAGCGUUGUCCGGAAUCAUUGGGCGUAAAGAGUUCGUAGGCGGCACGUAAAGUCUGGUGUUAAAGGCAGAGGCUCAACUUCUGUACGGCACUGGAUACUUGCGAGCUAGAAUGCGGUAGAGGUAAAGGGAAUUCCUGGUGUAGCGGUGAAAUGCUUAGAUAUCAGGAGGAACAUCGGUGGCGUAAGCGCUUUACUGGGCCGUAAUUGACGCUGAGGAACGAAAGCCAGGGUAGCAAAUGGGAUUAGAUACCCCUGUAGUC
This 443-nucleotide ribosomal RNA is filed under the name uncultured bacterium. RNAcentral's name for it is "partial 16S ribosomal RNA". It matches the Rfam family "Bacterial small subunit ribosomal RNA", at positions 338 to 795 of the family's 1533-position model. The record is from RNAcentral.